Molecule: ribosomal RNA, 477 nt
Filed under: uncultured bacterium
Lineage: Bacteria
Description: bacterial SSU rRNA
Rfam family: Bacterial small subunit ribosomal RNA
Source: RNAcentral
GACGAACGCUGGCGGCGUGCCUAACACAUGCAAGUCGAACGGAGAGGACAUGAAGUAUUUCGGUACGGAAUGCUCUCUUAGUGGCGAACGGGUGAGUAACACGUGGGCAACCUGCCCCAGACUGGGGGAUAACAUUGUGAAAACAGUGCUAAUACCGCAUGACAGGGUUCCGGGCAUCCGGGACCCUUGAAAGGAGAAAUCCGGUCAGGGAUGGGCCCGCGUCCAAUUAGCUAGUUGGCGGGUAACGGCCCACCAAGGCGACGAUUGGUAGCCGAACUGAGAGGUUGAUCGGCCACAUUGGGACUGAGACACGGCCCAGACUCCUACGGGAGGCAGCAGUGGGGAAUAUUGGGCAAUGGGCGAAAGCCUGACCCAGCGACGCCGCGUGAAGGAUGAAGGUCUUCGGAUUGUAAACUUCUUUGAUCAGGGAAGAAAGAAAUGACGGUACCUGAAAAACAAGCCACGGCUAACUACGUG